This 673-nucleotide ribosomal RNA is filed under the name uncultured Lactococcus sp. Its description in RNAcentral is "bacterial SSU rRNA". It matches the Rfam family "Bacterial small subunit ribosomal RNA", at positions 827 to 1501 of the family's 1533-position model. Lineage: Bacteria; Bacillati; Bacillota; Bacilli; Lactobacillales; Streptococcaceae. The record is from RNAcentral.
GAGCUAUAAGUUCUCUGUAGCGCAGCUAACGCAUUAAGCACUCCGCCUGGGGAGUACGACCGCAAGGUUGAAACUCAAAGGAAUUGACGGGGGCCCGCACAAGCGGUGGAGCAUGUGGUUUAAUUCGAAGCAACGCGAAGAACCUUACCAGGUCUUGACAUACUCGCGCUAUCCUUAGAGAUAAGGAGUUCCUUCGGGACACGGGAUACAGGUGGUGCAUGGUUGUCGUCAGCUCGUGUCGUGAGAUGUUGGGUUAAGUCCCGCAACGAGCGCAACCCUUAUUACUAGUUGCCAUCAUUAAGUUGGGCACUCUAGUGAGACUGCCGGUGAUAAACCGGAGGAAGGUGGGGAUGACGUCAAAUCAUCAUGCCCCUUAUGACCUGGGCUACACACGUGCUACAAUGGAUGGUACAACGAGUCGCCAACCCGCGAGGGUGCGCUAAUCUCUUAAAACCAUUCUCAGUUCGGAUUGCAGGCUGCAACCCGCCUGCAUGAAGUCGGAAUCGCUAGUAAUCGCGGAUCAGCACGCCGCGGUGAAUACGUUCCCGGGCCUUGUACACACCGCCCGUCACACCACGGAAGUUGGGAGUACCCAAAGUAGGUUGCCUAACCGCAAGGAGGGCGCUUCCUAAGGUAAGACCGAUGACUGGGGUGAAGUCGUAACAAGGUAGCC